AUGAAAUAAAUGUAUUCAAUUAAUAUAUUGUCUUCAUCUCCGCCCAUCCCAUUUCCUGAUUAAAAUCACCUCCUCUCCAGUCGUGAUGUAUCUUUUGAAUGCCUUUAAAGCUUAAUAGAGAGGGGUCGCUGUUAUGAUGGUCCCUAAAGUGAAGUGAAACCUGGUGUUUCUCAAUUUUUCUUUUGAUAUUGUAUACAUGCUCACCUAUCCUCGUCCUCAACAGUCUGGUUGUUCUAUGUAAUUUAAGCCGCAAGGACAGGUGAGCAUGUAGAUUACAUCUUUUGGUGUUGCACAUUAUGCAAUCCCUGAUUUUGUGUGUUUUCCAAUUGGCUGAAUUCAACAAGGUGCUGUUUACCUGAAUGUGUUAAGUGGCAAGCCCUACAUCGGCCACAUUCCAAAAAAAAAACAAAAUGAUAAUUGAUUAAAAAGUUGCCCCUUUUCUGUGUUUCCUUAUCCUCGCUAAUAAUUCCAUCUGUUAGAACUCUUUUUAGAGUUGGUAGACCACUAAAAUUUGGUGAUGAAUAUAAAAAAAAAUUUAUUCCAAC
Pelobates cultripes (western spadefoot toad) is the source of this 545-nucleotide non-coding RNA. The record is from the annotation of a GenBank genome assembly. Lineage: Eukaryota; Metazoa; Chordata; Amphibia; Anura; Pelobatidae.